This 393-nucleotide ribosomal RNA is filed under the name uncultured bacterium. RNAcentral's name for it is "partial 16S ribosomal RNA". It matches the Rfam family "Bacterial small subunit ribosomal RNA", at positions 523 to 918 of the family's 1533-position model. The record is from RNAcentral.
AUACGGAGGAUGCAAGCGUUAUCCGGAUUUAUUGGGUUUAAAGGGUGCGUAGGCGGGACUGUAAGUCAGGGGUGAAAUACUGCAGCUUAACUGUAGCAUUGCCUUUGAAACUGCCGUUCUCGAGUACAGUUGAGGUAGGCGGAAUGUGGUGUGUAGCGGUGAAAUGCAUAGAUAUACCACAGAACGCCGAUUGCGAAGGCAGCUUACUAAGCUGUUACUGACGCUGAGGCACGAAAGCAUUUAGAUCAAACAGGAUUAGAUACCAUGAUAGUCCACGGUGUAAACAAUGAUUACUGGUUGUUAGCGAUAUAUAGCUAGUGACUGAGCGAAAGCAUUAAGUAAUCCACCUGGGGAGUACGUCGGCAACGAUGAAACUCAAAGGAAUUGUCGGGG